This is a long non-coding RNA of Homarus americanus (American lobster), 2129 nucleotides long. RefSeq lists it as uncharacterized. The transcript is spliced from 2 exons. NCBI's taxonomy places the organism in Eukaryota, Metazoa, Arthropoda, Malacostraca, Decapoda, Nephropidae. The record is from RefSeq and is a predicted model, not a curated record.
ACGCUUGCAGCUCAUUGGAAAUCUAGCUUUUAAAUUUCCUGGCUCUUUCUUACCUAAUAACUGGAAACUUUACAUUUGCCAGUCUUGCCUCUUAUGUUCUCUUCCUACAGUGCCUCCCUCCUCGGGCUGUUUUAGUGGAGCCUCACGUUGAUUUAUGAAUAUAAAAUAUGAAACAAUAACUUAAUGGGACUCCAACAGUCAGCAAAAAGAACGGUGUGUUUAUGAGUAAUCAUUUGACUGGCCACAGCACCAUUUCAUAGUUGACCAGUCUGUUGGUGGUACGGUAAAUACCCGUCUAAACAGUUUAAAGGACUGUUUCCUGGAUGACUGGAAUUAGUAGCCAUUUAACCAGUCAAAGUACUGUACUUAUUAAUCCUGGGUUAUACUCUGAAGAACACAACCCUCCCCUCUCCACCACUUAAAUUGGUCAAGGUACAUUUUACAGGUGACGUUCUCUUGAUAGUACAGAACAGGAACGUAUUUGUCAUCCAAAAAGUUUUAAGACUGAAAGGCGUCGGUAGAACGAAUAAUUACGUAAAGUGAAUACAGUACUAUUGUGCACAUGUAAGAUAAACCACGGUAUUUGUAUCGGUUUGCAAAUACCUGUACAUAGACGAACUUAUUUCAUCAUUCUCUAACACUCACUGUUAUUAAGUCUACAAAUAAGCUUUAGUGUGUCAUCGUUGCCUUGCAAUUGCCAGAUAAACUGUUCCUCAGAUUCACAUGAGGAUGAGUGGCCUUGUCAUGCACAGUCACUCAGCCAGUUGCCUGAUUCUACUUGCAAAAUGUAGAAAAUUAAAGUAAACUAUGCUAUAUUCUCAAGAAUUCAUAUUUAGAAAGUUCAAAUCAUUGACAAAAUAGACUUUCAGCAGAGAGACUCUUUACUGUAAAUUCAUUACAUGAUUAACCAGUCAUAUUACUAUUUCCUGCAUGACUUUUUGUUGUUGAUGUAAUACAUGUGCUUUCCAUUAUUGGCACCUGACUUGAACCAGUCCUACAGAGAAAUUUAAAAGUAUCAGGUUAUCUAUAACGCUUCACACCCUUAGGUUAUCUUAAGACUUCCACACUUGAGGUUAUCUUAAAUGUACAAGUAUAUGUAGGACUGUUCCUCCCCUCAAGAAUGACUAUUGCUGUUUCAGGUCUUAUUUCUGCCAUAUGCUAUAGCUUAUGGAGCCUUGCUAUAUUGCCUCAAUUAAUAUUAUUGACAGUCACACAUCAUUAUUGCUUUGGUGUGAGUGUAUUGUUAUUGUGAUAGCAGGUGAAUGACUAAUUUCUACCAUUAGAUUGAGUGGAUCUGAAGGCAAUCAUUUAGGCUUAAAGAUUUGUCAAGAAUCAGUUUAAAGCUAAGUAACUUUGUGGGUGACAAGCUAAUUGACUAUUUAACAGCUUAUUAAAUAGCUGACCUUUACAAGGAGCUUUUAGCUUAUCAUGAUGGCUGUUAUCUAAGUAGCAUUUGGUAGGAUUGAACUAAUCACUAUUGCAAAAAUCGGACUGAUCCUUUUUUGCCAUAUAAAUAAAUUAUCAUGUUGAAGGCAUUUGUAGUUCAUGUCAGCUACCAUGACUAAAAGGUGCCCCAUAAAUGUUGUUAUUGGUAUUAUAUGAUAACUUUAAAAGAUAGAUGUGUAUAAUUUCAAUUAAUAUUCUACAGGUAAAGACAUGAGCAACACAAAAUAAUCCCAACAAUGUUUUGAACAGACUCACUCACUCUUGGUGUUAAAUCCCUCACUCAUUCUCUCAAGUUGUGUUCUGCCUUGGUGUUACCCUUUCACAGCUAGGCCCUAAGUACCAUCUCUGUACACCACCCAACAUUAUAUAAGUAUUGAAGAAUGAGUGUUAGGAUAUUUGUGGUUGUUAUUGAUUGAUGGAGGUGAGUUGAUGGGAAGGCAAAACAUGAAAGAAUAAUAAAUGCCCUGUUAUUUGAUUGCCUUACACUUGGGAUAUGAUUAUAACUUUGAUCUCUUGUAGGUACAUUAUUAUGCAUUUUUUUAACUUGUAUUGUACAAUGUUAAUAAUAACACCUGCUGUAUUGAUACAGUACAGGUACUUUCAUCUGCAAAUGUUUCACUCCCUUCACUAGUUAUUCCUGAAACUACUGUAGGCUCUCUGUUUGGCUGCCAUGUCAUUCUUUU